GCUCAACAUCAUACCAGCAGUUUGUGUGUAUUUACAGAAACAGUAACCAUUUGAGAUGGAACUAGGCAGAGCUCUGAGUUACUUUGCUCUAGCAACAAUUAUUCAAUAUUCCUGCAGUCAGACACUGAUUGAGUCAGAGUCAGUGAUCAUCAAACCUGAUCAGUCUCAUAAACUGACCUGUACAGCCUCUGGAUUUAACUUUGGUAGCUAUUACAUGGCCUGGAUUAGACAGGCACCUGGAAAAGGGCUGGAAUUUGUUGCAACUAUCUCAGGCAGCAGUAGUAGCAAGUAUUACUCCAGUGCAGUUAAUGGCCGCUUCACCAUCUCCAGAGACAACAGUAAGAUGCAGGUGUAUCUGCAGAUGAACAGCGUGAGGACAGAAGACACUGCAGUGUAUUACUGUGCCCGUGACCCACAGUGAUACUUCUCCCUAGACAUCAGUACAAAAACACAUGCU
Ictalurus punctatus (channel catfish) is the source of this 457-nucleotide non-coding RNA. NCBI's taxonomy places the organism in Eukaryota, Metazoa, Chordata, Actinopteri, Siluriformes, Ictaluridae. The record is from the annotation of a RefSeq genome assembly.